This 468-nucleotide ribosomal RNA is filed under the name uncultured bacterium. RNAcentral describes it as "partial 16S ribosomal RNA". It matches the Rfam family "Bacterial small subunit ribosomal RNA", at positions 28 to 507 of the family's 1533-position model. The record is from RNAcentral.
GACGAACGCUGGCGGCGUGCUUAACACAUGCAAGUCGAACGGAAAGGCCCUGCUUUUGUGGGGUGCUCGAGUGGCGAACGGGUGAGUAACACGUGAGUAACCUGCCCUUGACUUUGGGAUAACUUCAGGAAACUGGGGCUAAUACCGGAUAGGAGCUCCUGCUGCAUGGUGGGGGUUGGAAAGUUUCGGCGGUUGGGGAUGGACUCGCGGCUUAUCGGCUUGUUGGUGGGGUAGUGGCUUACCAAGGCUUUGACGGGUAGCCGGCCUGAGAGGGUUACCGGCCACAUUGGGACUGAGAUACGGCCCAGACUCCUACGGGAGGCAGCAGUGGGGAAUAUUGCACAAUGGGCGGAAGCCUGAUGCAGCAACGCCGCGUGCGGGAUGACGGCCUUCGGGUUGUAAACCGCUUUCGCCUGUGACGAAGCGUGAGUGACGGUAAUGGGUAAAGAAGCACCGGCUAACUACGUG